This 18-nucleotide small nuclear RNA is filed under the name Arabidopsis thaliana (thale cress). RNAcentral describes it as "snRNA_13348". The record is from RNAcentral. Lineage: Eukaryota; Viridiplantae; Streptophyta; Magnoliopsida; Brassicales; Brassicaceae.
UCUCCCGGAUGAGAGCGA